Molecule: ribosomal RNA, 464 nt
Filed under: uncultured bacterium
Lineage: Bacteria
Description: partial 16S ribosomal RNA
Rfam family: Bacterial small subunit ribosomal RNA
Source: RNAcentral
GACGAACGCUGGUGGCGUGCUUAACACAUGCAAGUCGAACGGAAAGGCCCUGCUUGCAGGGUACUCGAGUGGCGAACGGGUGAGUAACACGCGGGUGAUCUGCCCUGCACUUCGGGAUAAGCCUGGGAAACUGGGUCUAAUACCGGAUAGGAGCCAUUUUUAGUGUGAUGGUUGGAAAGUUUUUUCGGUGUAGGAUGAGCUCGCGGCCUAUCAGCUUGUUGGUGGGGUAAUGGCCUACCAAGGCGGCGACGGGUAGCCGGCCUGAGAGGGUGGACGGCCACAUUGGGACUGAGAUACGGCCCAGACUCCUACGGGAGGCAGCAGUGGGGAAUAUUGCACAAUGGGCGCAAGCCUGAUGCAGCGACGCCGCGUGGGGGAUGACGGCCUUCGGGUUGUAAACUCCUUUCGCUAGGGACGAAGCUUUUUGUGACGGUACCUAGAUAAGAAGCACCGGCUAACUACGU